GCUUGUCUCAAAGAUUAAGCCAUGCAUGUCUAAGUAUAAACAAAUUUAUACCGUGAAACUGCGAAUGGCUCAUUAUAUCAGUUAUAGUUUAUUUGAUGGUCCUUGCUACUUGGAUAACCGUAGUAAUUCUAGAGCUAAUACAUGCAUCAAACCCCAACUUCUGGAAGGGGUGUAUUUAUUAGAUGGAAACCAAUGCGGGGCAACCCGGAACAUGGUGAUUCAUAAUAACUUUCGGAUCGAUUUAUCGAUGCAUCAUUCAAGUUUCUGCCCUAUCAGCUUUGGAUGGUAGGGUAUUGGCCUACCAUGGCUUUCACGGGUAACGGAGAAUUAGGGUUCGAUUCCGGAGAGGGAGCCUGAGAAAUGGCUACCACAUCCAAGGAAGGCAGCAGG
Molecule: ribosomal RNA, 390 nt
Filed under: uncultured Chrysophyceae
Lineage: Eukaryota; Chrysophyceae
Description: partial small subunit ribosomal RNA
Rfam family: Eukaryotic small subunit ribosomal RNA
Source: RNAcentral